UGAACGCUGGCGGCGUGCUUAACACAUGCAAGUCGAGCGACAGCGCGGGAGCAAUCCUGGCGGCGAGCGGCGAACGGGUGAGCAAUGCUUCGGAAUCUGCCCAUUAGUGGGGAAUAACCAGUCGAAAGACUGGCUAAUACCGCAUACGACCUACGGGUGAAAGCAGGGGACCGCAAGGCCUUGCGCUAUUGGAUGAGCCGAAGUCGGAUUAGCUAGUUGGUGAGGUAACGGCUCACCAAGGCGACGAUCCGUAGCUGGUCUGAGAGGAUGAUCAGCCACACUGGAACUGAGACACGGUCCAGACUCCUACGGGAGGCAGCAGUGGGGAAUAUUGGACAAUGGGCGCAAGCCUGAUCCAGCCAUACCGCGUGGGUGAAGAAGGCCUUAGGGUUGUAAAGCUCUUUUACCCGGGAUGAUAAUGACAGUACCGGGAGAAUAAGCCCCGGCUAACUCCGUGCCAGCAGCCGCGGUAAU
RNAcentral lists this ribosomal RNA (474 nucleotides) under uncultured Alphaproteobacteria bacterium. Its description in RNAcentral is "bacterial SSU rRNA". It matches the Rfam family "Bacterial small subunit ribosomal RNA", at positions 30 to 524 of the family's 1533-position model. Lineage: Bacteria; Pseudomonadati; Pseudomonadota; Alphaproteobacteria. The record is from RNAcentral.